RNAcentral lists this transfer RNA (72 nucleotides) under Camelus bactrianus (Bactrian camel). It matches the Rfam family "tRNA". From Rfam's summary of the family: Transfer RNA (tRNA) molecules are approximately 80 nucleotides in length. Their secondary structure includes four short double-helical elements and three loops (D, anti-codon, and T loops). RNAcentral also lists the same sequence under 1 other name. The record is from Rfam by way of RNAcentral. Lineage: Eukaryota; Metazoa; Chordata; Mammalia; Artiodactyla; Camelidae.
GAGGAUAUAGCUCAAGUGGUAGAGCACAUGCUUAGCAUGCAUGGGGUCCUAGGUUCGAUCCUCAGGACCUCC